This is a long non-coding RNA of Cucurbita moschata (crookneck pumpkin), 180 nucleotides long. RefSeq lists it as uncharacterized. The transcript is spliced from 2 exons. The record is from RefSeq and is a predicted model, not a curated record. NCBI's taxonomy places the organism in Eukaryota, Viridiplantae, Streptophyta, Magnoliopsida, Cucurbitales, Cucurbitaceae.
UUUUCCCUCGGAGAGGUUUCCACACCCUUGUAAAGAAUACACAUCUCAAGCUAAGCAGACACUUAAUUUCCAACCUACCUAUGUAGUUUGUUGACAGUCUGACUGUUUCUCAACCAUUUCACAAUACAUAACUUCAAGAUUAUAAUCUAUUUCAAGUUCAUCAUUCAUCAAUGAAAUAUA